RNAcentral lists this ribosomal RNA (425 nucleotides) under uncultured bacterium. RNAcentral's name for it is "partial 16S ribosomal RNA". It matches the Rfam family "Bacterial small subunit ribosomal RNA", at positions 354 to 796 of the family's 1533-position model. The record is from RNAcentral.
GUUAGGAAUAUUGGACAAUGGACGCAAGUCUGAUCCAGCCAUGCCGCGUGAGUGAUGAAGGCCUUCGGGUUGUAAAGCUCUUUAGCCGAUGAUUAUAAUGACUGUAGUCGGAAAAUAAGCCCCGGCUAACUUCGUGCCAGCAGCCGCGGUAAUACGAAGGGGGCGAGCGUUAUUCGGAAUCACUGGGCGUAAAGCGUGCGUAGGCGGUUUUGUAAGUUGGGAGUGAAAGCCCAGGGCUCAACCCUGGAAUUGCUCUCAAAACUACAAGACUUGAAUUCGGGAGAGGAUAGCGGAAUUGUCAGUGUAGCAGUGAAAUGCGUAGAUAUUGACAGGAACACCAGUGGCGUAAGCGGCUAUCUGGACCGACAUUGACGCUGAGGCACGAAAGCGUGGGGAUCAAACAGGAUUAGAUACCCUUGUAGUCC